AAAAAGAAGCAUUAAUGCUCAUCAUGCUGGUAGUUUUAAUUCAUGGCAUUCAGCAAAUUUAAUUACAGUGUCUUUGCAUUCAAAUUACAUUAAGAGCAACCAUGUCAAUGCAUGAAAUUCUUGACGUUUGUAAGACAGCAUUUAUGGUACUUGUUAAACAAAUAUAAAAUGGUGUGUAUCAUGAAAACUUUUUCAAAGAUAUCUUUUAAGAAGUUAUACUAUAAGCAAUAUUUUACUUUUAAGUGAUCUUUGACUUUCAGCCAACAAAUAAACGCCAUGUAGAUCUUUAGGUAAUAUAGUAAUUUUGUAGUGAUUAAUCUGUUGAAAUCGGUUUCUCUAGCCUGGAAAAGAAAAAUUGAUUGUGCUAAAACAGAUUUUAGAAAAUUUAACCUUGGUCUGAUAGGUUUCAAAGCAUGGUCAUCUUUGCAGUCUUGCAAAAUGUGUUGUUCACCCCACCCCUUGUCAGUCAACUUGUCUAAUGAGCUUAAUAAUGAGAUCAAGAAAAGAGGGGGCGGUUUUAGCAAAUUGUGUAGUCUCUCCCCAACUUCAGGAAUUUUUGGGGGUCCCGGAACUGGCCAGAACUGAGGUUGUCAAGCAAACGUGGGCCUACAUUAGAGAAAAAGAUUUGCAAGACCCAAGUAAUAGACAAAAUAUGAUUUGUGAUGAACAGCUGCAUGCCCUUCUUGUGUAGAUACAAUCAACAUGUUUCAAAUGAAUAAGGCCCUGUCUAAGCACAUUUGACCCUUAUAUUCAGUUGUUCAGACCAAGUCAACACCAAAGGAAAAGCAUUGGAAGCAAGAGAGAGAAGAAGGUAGAACCAGAAAUUUUGGAUUACCAUUUAAUUUGAUGUGUUGUUGCAGAUGUCACUUCUUGUUGAAGCCAAAACAUAGUCAGAUUCUGAUCUAGUCAUCACCAUGUGUAUUCACUCAUUUCAUUUUGUCUCAUCACUCAGUUUCUUUCGUCCUUUUUUAAUUUGGAUUGAGAAUUAUUUCUUCUUUCCA
Molecule: long non-coding RNA, 1001 nt
Organism: Mangifera indica (mango)
Lineage: Eukaryota; Viridiplantae; Streptophyta; Magnoliopsida; Sapindales; Anacardiaceae
Exons: 4
Source: RefSeq, a predicted model, not a curated record